UGGGGAAUAUUGGACAAUGGGGGCAACCCUGAUCCAGCCAUGCCGCGUGAGUGAUGAAGGCCUUAGGGUUGUAAAGCUCUUUCGCCGGUGACGAUGAUGACGGUAACCGGAGAAGAAGCCCCGGCUAACUUCGUGCCAGCAGCCGCGGUAAUACGAAGGGGGCUAGCGUUGUUCGGAAUGACUGGGCGUAAAGCGCACGUAGGCGGCAAGGUUAGUCAGAGGUGAAAUCCCGGGGCUCAACCCCGGAACUGCCUUUGAUACUGGCUAGCUAGAGUCCGGAAGAGGGUGGCGGAAUACCCAGUGUAGAGGUGAAAUUCGUAGAUAUUGGGUAGAACACCAGUGGCGAAGGCGGCCACCUGGUCCGGUACUGACGCUGAGGUGCGAAAGCGUGGGGAGCAAACA
This 402-nucleotide ribosomal RNA is filed under the name uncultured prokaryote. RNAcentral's name for it is "bacterial SSU rRNA". It matches the Rfam family "Bacterial small subunit ribosomal RNA", at positions 355 to 774 of the family's 1533-position model. The record is from RNAcentral.